CUACGUAGGGGGCGAGCGUUGUCCGGAAUGAUUGGGCGUAAAGGGCGCGUAGGCGGCCCGGUAAGUCUGGAGUGAAAGUCCUGUUUUUAAGAUGGGAAUUGCUUUGGAUACUGUCGGGCUUGAGUGCAGGAGAGGUAAGUGGAAUUCCCAGUGUAGCGGUGAAAUGCGUAGAGAUUGGGAGGAACACCAGUGGCGAAGGCGACUUACUGGACUGUAACUGACGCUGAGGCGCGAAAGUGUGGGGAGCAAACAGGAUUAGAUACCCUGGUAGUCCACACUGUAAACGAUGAAUGCUAGUUGUAGGGGGUAUCGACCCCUUCUGUGCCGCAGUCAACACAAUAAGCAUUCCGCCUGGGGAGUACGGCCGCAAGGUUGAAACUCAAAUGAAUUGGCGGGG
Molecule: ribosomal RNA, 397 nt
Filed under: uncultured bacterium
Lineage: Bacteria
Description: partial 16S ribosomal RNA
Rfam family: Bacterial small subunit ribosomal RNA
Source: RNAcentral